This is a long non-coding RNA of Octopus sinensis (East Asian common octopus), 142 nucleotides long. RefSeq lists it as uncharacterized. The record is from RefSeq and is a predicted model, not a curated record. The transcript has 3 exons. Lineage: Eukaryota; Metazoa; Mollusca; Cephalopoda; Octopoda; Octopodidae.
CAUCUGGCAUCUGCUCCAGACUGACUGUUAUUGGCAUGGUUCCUACUGCUUUAUGCCCUUCCUAAUACCAGCCACUUUACAGUGUGUACUGAGUGCAUUUCUCAUGGCACCAGCAUUAGUGAGGUCACUGUGCAGCCUGCAA